GCUAAUUCAAGCCCUCCCAAUUAUUAAAUCAAAUAUUAUGCAUACUUAAUCCAAACCAUUUAUCCCGUCCAAGUAUAGGUGAUAGAAAAGACUAUUUGGCGCAAUAACGCAA
This 112-nucleotide ribosomal RNA is filed under the name Onychogalea unguifera (northern nail-tailed wallaby). RNAcentral's name for it is "partial 16S ribosomal RNA". Lineage: Eukaryota; Metazoa; Chordata; Mammalia; Diprotodontia; Macropodidae. The record is from RNAcentral.